ACUGCGUAGUUAUCUCCGCUUGCGUAGAGUUCGCGUGGUUUUAUUUUGCGCUUCAUCGCUGCAAGCAACGACAAUGAACCCUGAACAAGAAGAGGCAGUACUGCUAGGCUUGUUGGCAAGUACCUUUCUGGCGAUGCAUGACGCGGAGAAGCAUUCGCAGAAGAGACGACACCAGCGACGGUGGUGGGUUCGUCCUGCUUUGCAAGAGUGCGAAAAGCUUGGUCACGCCACCAAACUACUACCCUUUCUGCGAGAUCGUGACGUGGAGUACUACCGAGAGUAAGUUGAGAUGUAUUGUUAUUCGUGACAACAAUUAAUUAUGGGAAAUCGGAUACCUCGAUGUGGUGUUGGACUGUAUGCAAUGUAUUUUGUAUUCGUAGGUACCUAAGGAUGCCUCCACUUUCGACACGCUCGUGCAGCUUGUUUGACCCCACAUUCGGAAGAAAGACACUAAUUUCCGGAAAGCAAUCAGCUCCGAGCACCGGCAUGCGCAAACUGUCAGGUUCUUGGCUGCAGGGGAAACUCUCCACUCAUCUUGUUUCAGUUUCCUAAAUGGACGCUCGACAGCAUGUGGCAUUGUGUCGUCGGUGUGCCAGGUGCUGUGGGACGUCCUUGGACCUUUAUAUGUUGCCUGUCCAUCAAGUGCAGGUGAGUGGCUACAGAUUGCAAGCGACUUCGAGGAACGGUGGAACAUGCCCCACUGUGUGGGCGCAAUUGAUGGAAAACAUGUUGCCAUCGAAUGCCCUCAAAAUCGGGAAGUGAGGACUACAACUACAAAAACUGUUUCAGUAAACCACUGCUUGCUAUCAGCGACGCGUG
Dermacentor silvarum is the source of this 819-nucleotide long non-coding RNA. RefSeq lists it as uncharacterized. Lineage: Eukaryota; Metazoa; Arthropoda; Arachnida; Ixodida; Ixodidae. The transcript has 3 exons. The record is from RefSeq and is a predicted model, not a curated record.